CCAAGACAAGACACAAACUUUCAGAGACAGAGAGGAAACUUUCCCAUCUGUCGGAGACACUAGCCCUGCUGCUCAUUCCACCCCAAUCAGAGAGGGGAAGCCAAAUGCAGGUCCUCAGCAAAACCAAGCGAAGGCCAGAUCAGCUAGCACCAAACAACAGGUGUCCUAUACAGCAGACAUUCUGCAGCAGUUGCUACUACAACAGCAGGUAA
Long non-coding RNA from Girardinichthys multiradiatus, 212 nucleotides. RefSeq lists it as uncharacterized. Lineage: Eukaryota; Metazoa; Chordata; Actinopteri; Cyprinodontiformes; Goodeidae. The record is from RefSeq and is a predicted model, not a curated record. The transcript has 4 exons.